UGUCGAGAUUGCUCCAAUACUCCCCUAAUCUCCGGUGUUCUGCUCUAGAUGCCUUGAUCCAUCCUUUCUUUGACGAGUUGUGCGAUCCAAAUGCUCGCUUACCAAAUGGUCGUUUCCUUCCACCAUUGUUUAACUUCAAACCUCACGAACUGAAGGGUGUUCCGGUGGAAAUAUCGGUGAAGCUGAUUCCGGAGCAUGCAAGAAAGCAAUGUCCAUCUCUUGGAUUGUGAUUUUGAUGCAAAAAUUGUAACACG
Molecule: long non-coding RNA, 254 nt
Organism: Hibiscus syriacus
Lineage: Eukaryota; Viridiplantae; Streptophyta; Magnoliopsida; Malvales; Malvaceae
Exons: 4
Source: RefSeq, a predicted model, not a curated record